GGAGGCAGCAGUGGGGAAUUUUGGACAAUGGGCGCAAGCUGAUCCAGCAAUGCCGCGUGAGUGAAGAAGGCUUUCGGGUGUAAAGCUCUUUUGUCAGGGAAGAAACGGUAGAGGCUAAUAUCCUCUGCUAAUGACGGUACCUGAAGAAUAAGCACCGGCUAACUACGUGCCAGCAGCCGCGGUAAUACGUAGGGUGCAAGCGUUAAUCGGAAUUACUGGGCGUAAAGCGUGCGCAGGCGGUUUUGUAAGUCUGUCGUGAAAGCCCCGGGCUCAACCUGGGAAUUGCGAUGGAGACUGCAAGGCUUGAAUCUGGCAGAGGGGGGUAGAAUUCCACGUGUAGCAGUGAAAUGCGUAGAGAUGUGGAGGAACACCGAUGGCGAAGGCAGCCCCCUGGGUCAAGAUUGACGCUCAUGCACGAAAGCGUGGGGAGCAAACAGGAUUAGAUACCCUGGUAGUCCACGCCCUAAACGAUGUCUACUAGUUGUCGGGUUUUAAUUAACUUGGUAACGCAGCUAACGCGUGAAGUAGACCGCCUGGGGAGUACGGUCGCAAGAUUAAAACUCAAAGGAAUUGACGGGGACCCGCACAAGCGGUGGAUGAUGUGGAUUAAUUCGAUGCAACGCGAAAAACCUUACCUACCCUUGACAUGUCAGGAAGUCUUGAGAGAUCAGGAUGUGCCCGAAAGGGAACCUGAACACAAGGUGCUGCAAUGGCUGUCGUCAAGCUCGUGUC
Molecule: ribosomal RNA, 732 nt
Filed under: Massilia sp.
Lineage: Bacteria; Pseudomonadati; Pseudomonadota; Betaproteobacteria; Burkholderiales; Oxalobacteraceae
Description: bacterial SSU rRNA
Rfam family: Bacterial small subunit ribosomal RNA
Source: RNAcentral